ACGGGUGAGUAAUACAUCGGAACGUGCCCAGUAGUGGGGGAUAGCCCGGCGAAAGCCGGAUUAAUACCGCAUACGACCUACGGGUGAAAGCGGGGGAUCGCAAGACCUCGCGCUAUUGGAGCGGCCGAUGUCAGAUUAGCUAGUUGGUGGGGUAAAAGCCUACCAAGGCGACGAUCUGUAGCUGGUCUGAGAGGACGACCAGCCACACUGGGACUGAGACACGGCCCAGACUCCUACGGGAGGCAGCAGUGGGGAAUUUUGGACAAUGGGCGCAAGCCUGAUCCAGCCAUGCCGCGUGUGGGAAGAAGGCCUUCGGGUUGUAAACCACUUUUGUCAGGGAAGAAACGGUCUGAUCUAAUAAAUCGGACUAAUGACGGUACCUGAAGAAUAAGCACCGGCUAACUACGUGCCAGCAGCCGCGGUAAUACGUAGGGUGCAAGCGUUAAUCGGAAUUACUGGGCGUAAAGCGUGCGCAGGCGGCUAUGCAAGACAGAUGUGAAAUCCCCGGGCUCAACCUGGGAACUGCAUUUGUGACUGCAUGGCUAGAGUACGGUAGAGGGGGAUGGAAUUCCGCGUGUAGC
Molecule: ribosomal RNA, 581 nt
Filed under: proteobacterium StTD642
Lineage: Bacteria; Pseudomonadati; Pseudomonadota
Also listed under: 7 other names
Description: bacterial SSU rRNA
Rfam family: Bacterial small subunit ribosomal RNA
Source: RNAcentral